This 424-nucleotide ribosomal RNA is filed under the name uncultured bacterium. RNAcentral's name for it is "bacterial SSU rRNA". It matches the Rfam family "Bacterial small subunit ribosomal RNA", at positions 13 to 441 of the family's 1533-position model. The record is from RNAcentral.
UUGAUCCUGGCUCAGAUUGAACGCUGGCGGCAUGCCUUACACAUGCAAGUCGAACGGCAGCACGGGGCAACCUGGUGGCGAGUGGCGAACGGGUGAGUAACAUAUCGGAAUGUACCCUAGAGUGGGGGAUAACGUAGCGAAAGUUACGCUAAUACCGCAUACGAUCUACGGAUGAAAGUGGGGGACCGCAAGGCCUCAUGCUCAUGGAGCAGCCGAUAUCUGAUUAGCUAGUUGGUAGGGUAAAAGCCUACCAAGGCAACGAUCAGUAGCUGGUUUGAGAGAACGACCAGCCACACUGGAACUGAGACACGGUCCAGACUCCUACGGGAGGCAGCAGUGGGGAAUUUUGGACAAUGGGGGCAACCCUGAUCCAGCAAUGCCGCGUGAGUGAAGAAGGCCUUCGGGUUGUAAAGCUCUUUUGUCA